RNAcentral lists this ribosomal RNA (377 nucleotides) under uncultured Pseudobdellovibrionaceae bacterium. RNAcentral describes it as "bacterial SSU rRNA". It matches the Rfam family "Bacterial small subunit ribosomal RNA", at positions 523 to 898 of the family's 1533-position model. The record is from RNAcentral. Lineage: Bacteria; Pseudomonadati; Bdellovibrionota; Bdellovibrionia; Bdellovibrionales; Pseudobdellovibrionaceae.
AUACGGAGGGUGCAAGCGUUGUUCGGAAUCACUGGGCGUAAAGCGUGUGUAGGCGGCUUUGUAAGUCGGAUGUGAAAGCCCUGGGCUUAACCCAGGAAUUGCAUUCGAUACUGCUAAGCUUGAGUAUGGGAGAGGGAAGCGGAAUUCCUGGUGUAGCGGUGAAAUGCGUAGAUAUCAGGAGGAACACCCGUGGCGAAAGCGGCUUCCUGGCCCAUAACUGACGCUGAGACACGAAAGCAUGGGGAGCAAACAGGAUUAGAUACCCUGGUAGUCCAUGCCGUAAACGAUGAGUGCUAGGUGUUGGAGGUGUUGACCCCUUCAGUGCCGACGCUAACGCAUUAAGCACUCCGCCUGGGGAGUACGGUCGCAAGAUUAAA